GUGAAGAUAACUAACCCAUCUGAUUGCAUGAAGAAGGGGUCAGGGACUGA
RNAcentral lists this small nucleolar RNA (50 nucleotides) under Pyrobaculum arsenaticum DSM 13514. RNAcentral's name for it is "PARsR112". Lineage: Archaea; Thermoproteati; Thermoproteota; Thermoprotei; Thermoproteales; Thermoproteaceae. RNAcentral also lists the same sequence under 1 other name. The record is from RNAcentral.